This 528-nucleotide ribosomal RNA is filed under the name Megophrys sp. 20 JMC-2016. RNAcentral describes it as "partial 16S ribosomal RNA". It matches the Rfam family "Bacterial large subunit ribosomal RNA", at positions 1857 to 2597 of the family's 2925-position model. The record is from RNAcentral. Lineage: Eukaryota; Metazoa; Chordata; Amphibia; Anura; Megophryidae.
GCCUGCCCAGUGACCAUGUGUUCAACGGCCGCGGUAUCCUGACCGCGCGAAGGUAGCGUAAUCACUUGUUUUUUAAAUAAAGACUAGUAUGAAUGGCCGCACGAGGACUUAACUGUCUCCUUUGUCCAAUCAGUGAAACUGAUCUCCUCGUGCAGAAGCGAGGAUAAUACCAUAAGACGAGAAGACCCUAUGGAGCUUUAAACUAUGUAUCAAUUAUUUUUCCCACCCACUCUAUAGAACUAACUAUUAAUUAAAUUCAUUUGAUACAGGUUUUAGGUUGGGGCGACCAUGGAGAAAAAAAAAUCCUCCCUGAUGACUACAAACCAAGAGCCACAGCUCUAAAUAUUAAGACACUUAACUUCUAUUGACCCACUUUGUGAUCAACGAACCAAGUUACCCUAGGGAUAACAGCGCAAUCCACUUCAAGAGUCCUUAUCGACAAGUGGGUUUACGACCUCGAUGUUGGAUCAGGGCAUCCAAGUGGUGCAGCCGCUACUAAAGGUUCGUUUGUUCAACGAUUAAAGCCCU